This 433-nucleotide ribosomal RNA is filed under the name uncultured bacterium. RNAcentral's name for it is "partial 16S ribosomal RNA". It matches the Rfam family "Bacterial small subunit ribosomal RNA", at positions 29 to 507 of the family's 1533-position model. The record is from RNAcentral.
AACGAACGCUGGCGGCAUGCCUAACACAUGCAAGUCGAACGAGACCUUCGGGUCUAGUGGCGCACGGGUGCGUAACGCGUGGGAACCUGCCCUUAGGUUCGGAAUAACUCCCCGAAAGGGGUGCUAAUACCGGAUAAUGUCUUCGGACCAAAGGUUUAUCGCCUUUGGAUGGGCCCGCGUUGGAUUAGCUAGUUGGUAGGGUAAAAGCCUACCAAGGCGACGAUCCAUAGCUGGUCUGAGAGGAUGAUCAGCCACACUGGGACUGAGACACGGCCCAGACUCCUACGGGAGGCAGCAGUGGGGAAUAUUGGACAAUGGGCGAAAGCCUGAUCCAGCAAUGCCGCGUGAGUGAUGAAGGCCUUAGGGUUGUAAAGCUCUUUUACCCGGGAUGAUAAUGACAUUACCGGGAGAAUAAGCUCCGGCUAACUCCGUG